GCCCCCGUAGCUCAGGGGAUAGAGCAAUGGUUUCCUAAACCAUGUGCCGGACGUUCGAAUCGUCUCGGGGGCACCA
Molecule: transfer RNA, 76 nt
Filed under: Coriobacteriaceae bacterium
Lineage: Bacteria; Bacillati; Actinomycetota; Coriobacteriia; Coriobacteriales; Coriobacteriaceae
Description: tRNA-Arg
Rfam family: tRNA
About the family: Transfer RNA (tRNA) molecules are approximately 80 nucleotides in length. Their secondary structure includes four short double-helical elements and three loops (D, anti-codon, and T loops).
Source: RNAcentral